AUUGAACGCUGGCGACGUGCUUAACACAUGCAAGUCGUGCGAGAAAGGAGACUUCGGUCUCUGAGUAGAGCGGCGCACGGGUGAGUAACGCGUGGAUGAUCUACCCUUGAGUUCGGGAUAACGGUGCGAAAGCGCCGCUAAUACCGUAUAACAAUCCAUUUCAUCGUGGGUUCAAAGCAGGCCUCUUCAUGAAAGCUUGCGCUUGGGGAUGAGUCCGNGUCCCAUUAGCUUGUUGGCGGGGUAACGGCCCACCAAGGCUACGAUGGUAGCUGGUCUGAGAGGACGACCAGCCACACUGGAACUGAGACACGGUCCAGACUCCUACGGGAGGCAGCAGUGGGGAAUAUUGGACAAUGGGCGCAAGCCUGAUCCAGCAAUGCCGCGUGAGUGAUGAAGGCCCUCGGGUCGUAAAGC
RNAcentral lists this ribosomal RNA (414 nucleotides) under uncultured bacterium. RNAcentral's name for it is "bacterial SSU rRNA". It matches the Rfam family "Bacterial small subunit ribosomal RNA", at positions 30 to 431 of the family's 1533-position model. The record is from RNAcentral.